AUGGGGGAAAGGGUAAAGCAAAAGAGGGAGAAGAGGGACAGGGGCAAGAAAGGAAAAGUGAAAAAGAAAAGGAAGGGAAAGAGGUCGCCAUCACUGCCUCUGCCUGAUGAGGUCUGUCUCUUUUGCCUGCUCAGCUCAUCCCCUCUCCCAGCUGAGCUGAGGGCUCAAACAGCAGUAGAGAACACAAUAGAUACAAGAAUACAACACAAGAGUCUUCCAUUCCACUCCUCAUCUUGUCUUUCUCCCACAUCACAACAUCACAAGUUUCUUUCUUCUCUUCUCUUCUCUUCAGACAAGAACAUCAGCCCGUCUUCUUAA
This 318-nucleotide ribosomal RNA is filed under the name Triticum aestivum (bread wheat). Its description in RNAcentral is "partial small subunit ribosomal RNA". Lineage: Eukaryota; Viridiplantae; Streptophyta; Magnoliopsida; Poales; Poaceae. The record is from RNAcentral.